RNAcentral lists this long non-coding RNA (775 nucleotides) under Marmota monax (woodchuck). Lineage: Eukaryota; Metazoa; Chordata; Mammalia; Rodentia; Sciuridae. The record is from RNAcentral.
CAAUUUUACCUGAAGUAAACUAUAUGACCCUUAACUGAACUGGACUAAUUAAAGUUUUGUAGUGUAAUCCCUAACAUAACCACUAAAAUAUAAUGCAAGCAUAUCAUACAUUUAAAAAAAGAAGUAAAUGAGUUAAAAUGAAUACUAAAAACUAUUUUAAUAAUACUGAGAAAUAUUGUCAUUUGACUUAAACUGUAGUCAAGUUCCACUGAGUUAAGUUCCACAACCUUGGCCUCUGCUCCGUCCUAGUGGAAUCCAGUUUGAGAAAAAGUUAUACCAAGUCGUUUUAGGGAAAAUCUCCCAUCCUUGCUAUCUGAUUAUCUUCUGCUGUUUUGUCACAGUGGUCUGCCUUAAACAGGAACCGUACCCAAGUCAUUUUAGCUAAAAACCCCUUAUCCUUGAUGCUUCCUUUUAAUAAUUUUACACCCCCUGACCCCUAUCAUCCUCCAUGGUUAUAAAUCCCCAUGUGUUCUUGUUGAAGUCAAAGUUGAAUCUGAUCUCUGUCCUCCACUGCAAGACCCCAAUGCAGUAAAGCCUAUAUGUACCUUUUGCCAUGGCCUCCUUUGAAAGACUUCAGCCCUACUUAUUUUUCCUCCAAUACUGGGGAUCAAACCCAGCAACUUACACAUUCUAGACAAGUACUCCACCACUACCUUCCCAGUCCUUUCUUAAAUUUUGAGACAGAGUCUUGCUGAGUGGCCAAGGCUGGCUUCAAACUUGCAAUCCUUCUUCAGCCUCCUGAGUAGCUGGGAUUAUAUGGAUAUGCCACUGUGCC